UCGGGAAUUUUGGGCAAUGGGGGCAACCCUGAUCCAGCCAUGCCGCGUGAGUGAAGAAGGCCUUCGGGUUGUAAAGCUCUUUCGGCGGGGACGAAACGGUCCGUGACAACACCACGGACUAAUGACAGUACUCGCAGAAGAAGCACCGGCUAACUACGUGCCAGCAGCCGCGGUAAUACGUAGGGUGCAGGCGUUAAUCGGAAUUACUGGGCGUAAAGCGUGCGCAGGCGGCUCCUUAAGUCAGAUGUGAAAUCCCCGGGCUUAACCUGGGAACUGCGUUUGAAACUGAGGGGCUAGAGUGUGGAAGAGGGGGGUGGAAUUCCAGGUGUAGCAGUGAAAUGCGUAGAGAUCUGGAGGAACACCGAUGGCGAAGGCAGCCCCCUGGGCUAACACUGACGCUCAUGCACGAAAGCGUGGGGAGCAAACAGGAUUAGAUACCCCCGUAGUCCCUGAGCGGGCUGGCAAGGCGCAU
RNAcentral lists this ribosomal RNA (472 nucleotides) under uncultured bacterium. RNAcentral describes it as "bacterial SSU rRNA". It matches the Rfam family "Bacterial small subunit ribosomal RNA", at positions 355 to 825 of the family's 1533-position model. The record is from RNAcentral.